GGAGAGGUGCCGGAGUGGUUGAACGGGCUCGUCUCGAAAAUGAGAAUGGUCGCAAGGCCAUCGAGGGUUCGAAUCCCUCCCUCUCCGCAA
Molecule: transfer RNA, 90 nt
Filed under: Anaerolineae bacterium CFX9
Lineage: Bacteria; Bacillati; Chloroflexota; Anaerolineae
Description: tRNA-Ser
Rfam family: tRNA
About the family: Transfer RNA (tRNA) molecules are approximately 80 nucleotides in length. Their secondary structure includes four short double-helical elements and three loops (D, anti-codon, and T loops).
Source: RNAcentral